This 115-nucleotide small RNA is filed under the name Moritella yayanosii. RNAcentral describes it as "Alpha_RBS". It matches the Rfam family "Alpha operon ribosome binding site". Rfam says of the family: The bacterial alpha operon ribosome binding site is surrounded by this complex pseudoknotted structure. Lineage: Bacteria; Pseudomonadati; Pseudomonadota; Gammaproteobacteria; Alteromonadales; Moritellaceae. The record is from RNAcentral.
CAAUACAUCUCUCUUCUGAGUAUCCUUACGGGCUUUUCGAAGAGAGCAAAAUUUUUUUUCAACCCUUAAGUGGAGUGGUAUAGUGGCCCGUAUAGCCGGCAUUAACAUUCCUGAU